CAGUAAUAGGUGAAGGAAAGUCAGA
Molecule: non-coding RNA, 25 nt
Filed under: Mus musculus (house mouse)
Lineage: Eukaryota; Metazoa; Chordata; Mammalia; Rodentia; Muridae
Source: RNAcentral